This 364-nucleotide ribosomal RNA is filed under the name uncultured Streptococcus sp. RNAcentral describes it as "bacterial SSU rRNA". It matches the Rfam family "Bacterial small subunit ribosomal RNA", at positions 1018 to 1382 of the family's 1533-position model. The record is from RNAcentral. Lineage: Bacteria; Bacillati; Bacillota; Bacilli; Lactobacillales; Streptococcaceae.
CUUCGGUACAUCGGUGACAGGUGGUGCAUGGUUGUCGUCAGCUCGUGUCGUGAGAUGUUGGGUUAAGUCCCGCAACGAGCGCAACCCCUAUUGUUAGUUGCCAUCAUUCAGUUGGGCACUCUAGCGAGACUGCCGGUAAUAAACCGGAGGAAGGUGGGGAUGACGUCAAAUCAUCAUGCCCCCUUAUGACCUGGGCUACACACGUGCUACAAUGGUUGGUACAACGAGUUGCGAGUCGGUGACGGCGAGCUAAUCUCUUAAAGCCAAUCUCAGUUCGGAUUGUAGGCUGCAACUCGCCUACAUGAAGUCGGAAUCGCUAGUAAUCGCGGAUCAGCACGCCGCGGUGAAUACGUUCCCGGGCCUU